This 468-nucleotide ribosomal RNA is filed under the name uncultured bacterium. RNAcentral describes it as "partial 16S ribosomal RNA". It matches the Rfam family "Bacterial small subunit ribosomal RNA", at positions 28 to 507 of the family's 1533-position model. The record is from RNAcentral.
GACGAACGCUGGCGGCGUGCUUAACACAUGCAAGUCGAACGGAAAGGCCCUGCUUUUGUUGCUCUCUCGUGAGCCGCGGACGUGUGAAUCACGCGUGUAUCACCCACCUCUCCUACGGAUAACUCUUGGACAAAGCGGAUCACAUACGAUAGGAGAUCUUGAAGCACAUGGUUCGAUGGUAAGUUUCGGCGGUGGGGGAUCGACUCGCGGUCUACCAGCUUGUUGGUGGGGUAGUGGCGUACAAAGGUUUUGACGGGUAGCCGGCCUGAGAGGGCGACCGGCCACAUUGGGACUGAGAGACGGCCCAGACUCCUACGGGAGGCAGCAGGGGGGAAUAUGGCACAAUGGGCGGAAGCCUGAUGCGGCAACGCCGCGUGCGGGAUGACGGCCUUCGGGUUGUAAACCGCUUUCGCCGGUAACAAGGCGUGAGUGACGGUAAUGAGUAAAGAAGCACCGGCUAACUACGUG